ACGGAAGGCAGCAGUGGGGAAUAUUGCACAAUGGAGGGAACUCUGAUGCAGCAACGCCGCGUGAGCGAUGAAGGUCUUCGGAUCGUAAGGCUCUGUCCUUGAGGACGAAUAAAUGACGGUACUCUUGGAGGAAGCCCCGGCUAACUACGUGCCAGCAGCCGCGGUAAUACGUAGGGGGCGAGCGUUAUCCGGAAUUAUUGGGCGUAAAGAGUACGUAGGGGGUUUGGUAGGCGUAGGGUGAAAGCCCGGGGCUCAACUCCGGUGAGCCCUAAGAACUGCAAGACUUGAGUGCAGGAGGGGAAAGUGGAAUUCCUGGUGUAGCGGUGAAAUGCGUAGAUAUCAGGAGGAACACCGGUGGCGAAGGCGACUUUCUGGACUGUAACUGACACUGAGGUACGAAAGCGUGGGGAGCAAACAGGAUUAGAUACCCUGGUA
Molecule: ribosomal RNA, 435 nt
Filed under: uncultured Anaerovorax sp.
Lineage: Bacteria; Bacillati; Bacillota; Clostridia; Peptostreptococcales; Anaerovoracaceae
Description: partial 16S ribosomal RNA
Rfam family: Bacterial small subunit ribosomal RNA
Source: RNAcentral